GAGAUUUGGCAAUUGAAUUGCAUGCAUUUUUGCAUGUAAUUAGGCUAUAAAUAGAGAUGUUUUCAAAUGUUGAAGGACUUUUGCCUCUUUUAUCAUUUUCAUAAUCUCAACAAAAGAAAAAAGAAAGCUUCCAAUCUCAUUUUAUCUCCAUUACUUUCUACACCAAAAUUGGGUCCCACAACCCGGUUCUUUGUCUAGAGGAUAGCAGUUGAGUACUAGUGGUGGUCUCGGGUAGAAUUGGUAAGAAGACAUCAAACCUUUUGAAAGCUUCAAAGGUAAUACUUCUUAAAACCCUAAUUUGAUUAGUUUAUGGUUAGAUGUUAAUUGUGGCAAUUAGGGUAGAAAUUCGAUUCUUUUUCCGCUGUGCAUGAAUUAGUUCUAUCAGUAAUGUGGGCUAUUAAUUUGUCAUGAUCUUCCUAAAUAGGCGGAAGAAUUAAGUUAUUUUUCUAUUUAUUGUUUUGGUUAUUUAUUGUCUUAAUUAUCUCCAAAGUUUUAGCAAGCACUAAGUUAGUGAGUUACUAAUUUUUGCUUCAUUUUAGACUAUAAAUACUAGCCCAUCAAAUUGAAUAAAUGCAAGAAAUUCCAUUUAAUUUUUCUCUCCCUCUUGGCAAUAUAUCUUACAAAGUAUUUAUCUUUGUUUUCUUCAAGAAGAGUGCGUGAGAUUUUACAUAUCCUUUGUUGUAAAACUAACAAUCAAUAGCAGACAACUGGAUGUAGCCUACAUUGGGUGAACCAAUAUAAACCGAGUUUCAACUCUCGCUUCAACCUGUUUUAGUAUCGUUCUUGUUUGAUUGAAACUUGAUUAAUUAAGUUAGAUUAUGGUCUGAAUUUGGUUGAUUAAGUUAGAUUAGUAUACUAUUAUCCCCACAAUCAUCUGGCAUGGACAGCGUUCCAAAAUUCAACCAUUGGGACGAAAUAUAAUUUUUAGUUUUUGAAUCCAAUUAUAUCUCCUGAUCUUUAUAUCAUAUUAAAUAAAACAAUGACGUAUGUCAAGGUAAACAUAAGUUUUUAAAGCGAUGAAAAGAUAAUAAAAUUAAAAAAAGAAAAAAAGAAAAAGAAACGGACGCUCUUAAUUGAUUAAAGUUUUGCUUAACUUUACAAUAACGUUGAAAAAGAUCCUAUAAACACACUACAAAACUUAAGAGCUUAUUGAGCUUUUACAUAAUACAGAUAUACAUAAAAUAUUCUAUCAAAUUUCAAUACAUAAUUAUCCAACAUAUUUUACUAAAAAAUAAACUUAAAGGUGAUAAACUAAUUAAAUGAAAUGUAGUAUAAUUGGUUAUGAGCAGCCAUUUUAUUCCAAUCCCCAACUAAUUGUUACAAAAGAUAACAAAGCCAACGAGUUUUAUCACAACGAGUUUUACCUUUCUGAUAUAUAUGCUUGCAAACAGUGUCGUACGUAGUGUGUGUUAGAAAGGAGGUGGAGGUGAUCUACGGGUUUGCCUUCUUGGCCACUGGAACCUGGGCGGCGGUGGUGGUGGCGGCGGAGACGUACCCGCCUUCUCCUUCUCCUUACUUGCAGUUCAAAUUCAUACGAUGGCAAAAGUGACGACGGUGAUGGUUGCGGAAGAGGGACAAUUCUUGUGUGAUAAAGAGAAGGCAAUGGGUGAAGCUGGGCAGCAGAUGUAGAGAGAAUUGGGAAGCUAAGAAAAAAGAAGGUUAAUGAGACUAAAACAAAGGCCAUCACUGGAGAUUCAUUUUUCACUUUUUCUUUUUCUUUGGUUUGUUGUUCACUUCAUUGAUGUGU
Molecule: long non-coding RNA, 1747 nt
Filed under: Cucumis sativus (cucumber)
Lineage: Eukaryota; Viridiplantae; Streptophyta; Magnoliopsida; Cucurbitales; Cucurbitaceae
Description: long non-coding RNA (CSAT_LNC001535)
Source: RNAcentral